Molecule: long non-coding RNA, 1023 nt
Organism: Glycine soja
Lineage: Eukaryota; Viridiplantae; Streptophyta; Magnoliopsida; Fabales; Fabaceae
Exons: 3
Source: RefSeq, a predicted model, not a curated record
CAGUGGAGUCGAGUUCUUAAAAAGUCACAACGGUUAAAAAUCAGUAUUGUUUUUUAACUUUUAAAUGGAAAGUCACGACGUCGUAUCAGUUCAGUGCUUCAGGCAACGAUCUAGGGCUAGGAGCGUAGCGUAGAGAUAACGGCGUCAUUUUUCAGCGUAAUUCCAACUUCAUCUGUUCUCUCCUAUAUCUGAGACCUGAUAAAGAUUCCAUCUUGCCACUUGGGUAUGUCCCAUUCUGAAAUUUUCCCCCAAUCCCCAAUAGCAUGUGCUUUGUUACAUUAGUAUCAAUCAAGUACUGGACCAAACCAAUUUAGUUGAAGCAUAUUGGCAACAUUUUGAAGCUGAAUUAUUGUUGGUCCUCCCUCCCACUAUUAGUGCAGAUGGUGGGUGGUGCGAGGUCAGUUCCUGGCAUCACAGUGGGGACUAUGGAUUCCUAGACAUCAGAAGCUGCAACUGUUGGAUGGGGAUGUGAUGCAUUGCAUGUACGAUUCAGAUUGGAAUACAAACACCUACUUAAUUUCUUAACAAGAUUAGCAUAGACUUUAAAUACCAAAUAUAUGCCCGAUAGAAGAGAUGAUAGAAGAGAUAUUUGGAGGGAGAAGAUGCUGAUUGAAAGGUAAUAUAUGCCCGAUAGGAUAUGCCUAUUUUUGCUAAUCUAGCCCAAAUAUAUCAUGAAAAUCUACACAAGGAUCGCAUAGAAAAUGGGGUCAGAAAACGCUACCCUUGGGUGCCCACCAAUUUUUACAUUUUCCCACAUUGUACUAUACAGGGGAAGAUGCUGAGAAGAUGUUCUGUGCUUUAGAGCAUAUGAAUUUUAUCAAACAGUGGCAAACUUAGCACAAGCCUGUGGCAUAUUCCAUUCAAUCGUCGAUUCUAUGGAUCGUUUUUCAUUGAGUUAUUUAACUGGAUUAAUAUCAAUAUUAUGUGGUGCAAAUACAAAAGUAUUGGAUGGUAGGUUUAUAUUUUUUGCUUCCCCGAUUAUUCUAGUAAACUUUAUAAGGAUUCAUCACCCUUUCUUAGGCA